AAUCUUUUAUUUUUCCUUUCAAUAAUUGAAUUUGAUUUUAGUUCUCUAAAAUACACCGUGUUGAUUUUGGUCCUAAACUUUGAAAUGUUUUCAUUUGGUUCUUCCCAUGUUACUAAUGAUGUGACGGAUAUUUAUUGGAAAAGGAUUAAUUUGAAACAAAGAAAUAAGAUUCUUAUUUAAUUUAUUUAACACUUUUUCUUGAUGUUCAAAAUGCAUUCUUGAAGCUUAUUUUUCUUCAGAAAUUUGAAUCUAGAUUUAGGAAAUAUCUUUUAGUAUGUUUGCAUAUGCAUGUUCGGUUCUGUACUUCUCAAUCUGUCGUAAUUUCUUUUACAAAAAAAAAAGGAACUUCACUACACUCACCUGUCUCGGUCUACAAACGUCCCUUCUCAUAAUAUAACAUGUUUCAAUAAAUUUCACUUUUUUUUUAAUCAAAAUUUGUUUUUUUAGGUUUUGCUAACAAUUCCUUCUCUCUUAAGAUUUGUAAAACAAUUUUAAAUAAUGUUUCUCAUAUUAUUCUAAGAUUUUGAGUAAAUUUGAAUAUCAUCCGUAAACACCACUACAAACCUAUGAUGCUAUGACACGUCUCAUAAAUGGUAAACCUAUGAUGUUCCGACAUGUCUUAUAAAUGGUGUGUUCCGUGUCUGACACGUAUCGAACACCGACACUCGUACAAUACUUGUAGGACACACUAUGUUCAAUUUAAAAAAUAUUUUUUUAUCUUUAACAUGAUUUUGAUGAUUAAAAUAAUGAACAAAUUUUAUUCUAUCACUACGUUUUGCAUAUUGGAUAUUAGAUAGAUAGAUUAUAUUCAUUUUUGUGUUAGUUGACAAUAUGUUAGUUAACAGUUUCAAAGUUUCAAACUUAACAUGUAUAUACACAUCGUGUCUCGUGUUCUAUGUUUUUUUAAUUUAGUCGUAUCUCCGUAGUCCGUAUCAUAUCUUUCCUCAUGUUUGUAUCCGUAUCCAGACAACAUAGCUACAAACUGUCCAGAAAUGUCCUAAAAUUUCUAAUGUCCAACUCAGCUCGCUGAAUCGCCUCUAAACUUGCGAUUUCAUGCGAGUUUGCUCGAGUUUACACGAGUCUACCAAAAACUGAUUCUACAUGCCAGUUAAAUUGGUUUAGGAUUGUGCCAAUGUAAACUCAUCUGAAUGUACGAGUUAUUUUGAUAACCAUGGUUAACUCGUAUUAAUAGGGAUGCCAAAAAAAAAUAUAAUAACCAAAUAUGUCCAGUCAUUUACAAUACUCUUAUAAUUGAUUUUCGGCAUUUUAGCCCUCCUGGCGUUGUGGCCAUAUUCUCUUUUAUAAGUAAUAUCAUAAACAACAAGAAAUCUCAUAAAUAGAUCAACGAUCAGACUAGGGCGUUAUUCUGAUGAACAAGAUCCUCUUAAGAGGCGAGUUCAGAGCAUACUCAUCCCACUGUCUAUAGCACCUUCUAUGCCAGUUGUUCUUAGAUAUCUUAGAACCUUAACAUAAUACAGAUAUAAGAUUUCGAAGAGAAGAGCAAAGAGUUUAAAACACAUUUUUGUAUUCACAAUGCCUUCAAAACCCGAUGAUCUUUCUCAAAGGGAAGAGGCUUAUUUAUAGAAAUCCGUCUUCGGAUUUCAAAACCUUACUUAGCUAAGUCUCACGUCCGUAGACGUCAGCGCUUACAUCAUAAUAUUCGGAUUCAAAUAAAACAAACUGGAAUCUGGAAAAUGACAAACAUACUGGCCGACAGGUAGGCCUGAAUUUUACAACUAUCUUUUACUUAAUGAAAUACAUUAAUCCUUGAAGAUUGGUUCGUGACUAGGAGAGAGAUUUGGAUCAGUAUCACUCUCCAUGGUAUCACCUUCAUGUUCAGCUGGAAUCCAUGAGUCAAAAUCUUCUUUGUCUUCUUCUGGUCCUCCUAGGUCUCUUGAUAUCUGGAAUUGUUCUUCAGGGAUAUAGAAUUUCUGUGGUAGUAGAACCCUGCUGUCCAGAAGGAAUCAAUCUUGAGGGAGUGAGCUGGAUUUCUGUAUGAUUCUCCCCUUGUCGUAUUUCCCUGAGGUGCCUGACUAGUUGUAGCCUAUAACUUUCAGAGAUAGGGUAAUCAUCAAAGGUUCCUCAGAAAUAAGCUUUGUUUUUUGACCAAAUUGCUCUAGAGUGAUUUUGAUAAUAUGGACGGUGGAUAAUGACAAUAGAGGUGGAUUUAGACAAAUCCACAUUUCUUUUUCUUUGAUAAUGAAAAAUCUUUUCUAGUUCAUGUCUCCACCAUGGGAUGGGAGAAAACCAUUCUAACAAGGUCCAGAACAGAUAAUCAUGUUUGAAAGGAUCGUUCAAGAUGUUGUAGGUUUCUUGGACUUUUAAGGCUAGAGGGAUGGAUCUUUGAACAGUUUUACACCAAAUGGCCCAAAGAGUUGGUUCACAGAUAUCCCAUCCGACUCCUAGAAAUAAUUCAUAUAUCCCUCCUAAUUCAUUAUUUGGAUCAAGCAUGCAUGGGGGACUGUAUUUGUAUUUCAGGGUCUCAUGAAGAUAAUAGAAAUACCUUGAAUGUGCAAAUUGGAGAAUAUCUGUAGGAGAUGUGGGAUAUAGUCCAGGAGGGUAUUCUUUAAGCGAAGGAUCUGAGGGUCUGGUGGCAUCUUGUUUUUGAAUUCUAAGAUUCUAGGAAAGGACGAAUUGUCCAUUUGUACUUCGAAUUGGAAACCUCUAAGAUGGAAAUCAAAUUUCUUAAUGCCAUUUUUGACUGCCAAAGCUUCUUUGAAAGUUGUGUGGUAGUGUUUUUCGGCUUCUUUGAAUUCACCACUUGCAUGUCCACAAUAAUCUAGAUGGUUUCCAUUUUCCUCCAUUAGAACAGCUCCCCAAUAAUGAUUGAUGGCAUCAGUUUGGAGAAUUCUUUUCCCAUUUCCUGGAAUCUUGAGAGCAGGAGGGUGUUGUGCUAUUUUUUUGAUCUCGGAUACUGCUCGGGUCUGUUCUAUCCCCCAAGGAGGGGGGUCCUUUUUUAAUAAUCUGAACAAAGGGCUGGUAUACCUUGCAACUUUGGGAAUAAAAUCACGAAUAUAAUUGAGGAUCCCCAAAAAUUGUUGAAUCUCCUUGAUGGUCAAAAAGCAGUCAGGGAAUUUCAGAAGUUCUUGAGCUAUAUAGGGUUGAGGUUGGUAUGUGCCUUGGGAGAAAUGCAUUCCAAGAAAAUCAAUUUCUAGUUGUGCCAAGUGGAUCUUUUUUUCUGAGAGCAUAAUACCGUGUUGAUCAGCCAAAGAGAUGAAUUGUUCUAAGAGGACUUUGUGAGAUUCUUUGUCUUUGGAGAAAAGCAAAAUAUCAUCUAUGUAGAUGAUAACACUGUUUAGGAUGGGCUCGAAGAUCUUGGUCAUAGCUUUCUGGAAGAGAGAGGGGGCUACUUUGAGUCCAAAUGAGAGUACCGCCCACUGAUAUUGGGCACUAGGAAUACAAAAUGCGGUUUUGUACCUUUCCGAGGGUUUAAUGCUUAUCUGCCAGAAACCUGAUUUGAAGCCUGAAAAAGAAAGAGAAGUUUUUCAAGACUCACAGGAUAUCUCAAUUUGGACUGAUGCCAGCAAUCAUUAUUGGGGAGCUGUUCUAAUGGAGGAAAAUGGAAACCAUCUAGAUUAUUGUGGACAUGCAAGUGGUGAAUUCAAAGAAGCCGAAAAACACUACCAUACAACUUUCAAAGAAGCUUUUGCAGUCAAAAAUGGCAUUAAGAAAUUUGAUUUCCAUCUUAGAGGUUUCCAAUUCGAAGUACAAAUGGACAAUUCGUCCUUUCCUAGAAUCUUAGAAUUCAAAAACAAGAUGCCACCAGACCCCCAGAUCCUUCGCUUAAAGGAUUGGUUCUCUAGGUAUGAUUUCUCAGUCAAAUAUCUCAAAGGAAAAAAUAACUUAAUCCCAGAUUUUCUCUCAAGACCCAGAAAAGCUAUCCAGAUGAUUACUGCCAUCAACACUUUCCCUCUAAUUUUUAUGGUUAAAACUUUGCCCAAUAUGGCCAAAAUCCAGAAAGAAUACCCUCCUGGACUAUAUCCCACAUCUCCUACAGAUAUUCUCCAAUUUGCACAUUCAAGGUAUUUCUAUUAUCUUCAUGAGACCCUGAAAUACAAAUACAGUCUCCCAUGCAUGCUUGAUCCAAAUAAUGAAUUAGGAGGGAUAUAUGAAUUAUUUCUAGGAGUCGGAUGUGAUAUCUGCGAACCAACUCUUUGGGUCAUUUGGUGUAAAAUUGUUCAAAGAUCCAUCCCUUUAGUCUUGAAAGUCCAAGAAACCUACAACAUCUUGAACGAUCCUUUCAAACAUGAUUAUCUGUUCUGGACCUUGUUAGAAUGGUUUUCUCCCAUCCCAUGGUGGAGACAUGAACUAGAAAAGAUUCUUCAUUAUCAAAGACAAAGAAAUGUGGAUUUGUCUAAAUCCACCUCUAUUGUCAUUAUCCACCGUCCAUAUUAUCAAAAUCACUCUAGAGCAAUUUGGUCAAAAAACAAAGCUUAUUUCUGGGGAACCUUUGAUGAUUACCCUAUCUCUGAAAGUUAUAGGCUACAACUAGUCAGGCACCUCAGGGAAAUACGACAAGGGGAGAAUCAUACAGCAGGGUUCUACUACCACAGAAAUUCUAUAUCCCUGAAGAACAAUUUCAGAUAUCAAGAGACCUAGGAGGACCAGAAGAAGAUAAAGAAGAUUUUGACUCAUGGGUUCCAGCUGAACAUGAAGGUGAUACCAUGGAGAGUGAUACCGAUCCAAAUCUCUCUCCUAGUCACGAACCAAUCUUCAAGGAUUAAUGUAUUUCAUUAAGUAAAAGACAACUGUAAAAUUCAAGCCUACCUGUCGGCCAAUAUGUUUGUCAUUUUCCAGAUUCCAGUUUGUUUUAUUUGAAUCCGAAUAUUAUGAUGUAAGCGCUGACGUCUACGGACGUGAGACUUAGCUAAGUAAGGUUUUGAAAUCAGGAGAUGGAUUUCUAUAAAUAAGCCUCUUCCCUUUGAGAAAGAUCAUCGGGUUUUGAAGGCAUUGUGAAUACAAAAUUGUGUUUCUAAACUCUUUGCUCUUCUCUUCGAAAUCUUAUAUCUGUAUUAUGUUAAGGUUCUAAGAUAUCUAAGAACAACUGGCAUAGAAGGUGCUAUAGACAGUGGGAUGAGUAUGCUCUGAACUCGCCUCUUAAGAGGAUCUUGUUCAUCAGAAUAACGCCCUAGUCUGAUCGUUGAUCUAUUUAUGAGAUUUCUUGUUGUUUAUGAUAUUACUUAUAAAAGAGAAUACGACCACAACGCCAGGAAGGCUAAAAUGCCGAAAAUCAAUUAUAAGAGUAUUGUAAAUAACUGGACAUCCGUAAGUGAGGUAAGAUCUAUAAAAAAUACUAAAUGGAUAUCUUUAAUACAUACUCAUGAUUAGUAUGUACAGGUAUUUAAUUACGGUAUGCGACAAAACAAUGAAUUGUUUAGAUUUUGACUUCAUAUAUUUUCAUUUCAUUUUAUUUAUACCUAUAAAAUUAAAAUUAUUUUAAAAAAUAUUAUAAUUUAUAUUAUUGGUGUCACUCAUUUAAAUUUACUAUUUAAAAGACCAAAUUUAUUUUCAUUGAUAGUUCAAUGUGCAAUUUUAAUUGAAUUGUACUUUAAAAUUAAUUUUGUUAUCUAAGUUUAUAUUUUAAAGACUAACUUUUAAAUAAUUUUAUAGUUUAAUUACACUUUUAAUUUUGUAUUUGUAGUAAUUUUUAAUGAUUUUUUUAAUUUAUUUUUGACUAAAUGUAGUACUCGUUCUUUUAGAAAGACCACAUGUGGUUCCUUUUAUUAAUUUGCAUUAAAGUCGUUUAGAGGCGAUGGUUUGUAUGUUAAAAUGGAUACAUGUCACAUUGUAUCAUUAGUUUCUCUUCGGUGGUGUGAAUAGAGUAUAGGGUAAGAAUCAUGGAAAAUGAUAAUUUGACAAAUUUUUUUCUAUAAACUUUGACAAAUAACAAUUUUUGUAAAAAGAAACACUAAAAUUAUAUUACUUUAUUCUUUUAAAUUUUAAAAAAAUUAAAAAAUUACUCUAUUUUUUAAUUUUUUCAAUAAAAUGUUUGUUAAAAAAUUAUUUUGGAACAGUCAUUUGCAACUGUGGAGAUGUUGGUAUUAAGAAUCAUAAAGCCCUAAACGAAAAUGGCAACUUACAACCUGUAAAUCAAAAAGUCACACUCACCUUUAAAACUCAACGAAACAUUACCCAAUUGCACAUACCCGAAAAUGACAAAUCCACCACCACAAGCGCAAUCCUCCCACUAGAAAAAUUCACUCUUCAAAUAUCCCAAAAAUUCAAUCUAGAAACAAAAGCUCCCAUUUUCAUGAGAAUGAAAAAAUGAAGUUGAAAAUUGAAAGAAAGUUAACUCAACCAAAUUCCACCAUUUUGGAGCAACGGGGCGGAGCAAAGAAUGAUGACAGUGUUACAUUUCAUCGAACAACUAGGAGGCAACAUCAUGAGUCCAGAACAAUGAGGAGAGCUCAAAAUGACAUGUUUUUCUGGAUGGACUUGAGAAUGAGAUUGAGACAAGGCAUUCAGUUUCUCUGUGCUUGUUCUUUUGCCCUAUUGGUGUUCUUACUCAUGUCAUCACCAAAGCAACCACUAAAAGUAGCAGAGAAAACAAGCAUGGAUUAUAGAGGGAAAACAUGCUGGCAGAGAAAUUCAUGUUCAAGUUUUUACACUUGUAAUUGUCAUUGGAAUUCCUCCAUCAAAAGAUCAUAUUAUUAGUAAAUAAAUAGUUCAAUUUCAAGUGUAUAAAUUAUCUUUGACAGAAAGUUCUCUUCAAUUUUUUUCUUGAGCUGCAAUGCAAAAUUUUCGAUUUUUACCAUA
Unclassified non-coding RNA from Vigna unguiculata (cowpea), 6756 nucleotides. NCBI's taxonomy places the organism in Eukaryota, Viridiplantae, Streptophyta, Magnoliopsida, Fabales, Fabaceae. The record is from RefSeq and is a predicted model, not a curated record.